GAUGAACGCUGGCGGCGUGCCUAAUACAUGCAAGUCGAGCGAACGGACGAGAAGCUUGCUUCUCUGAUGUUAGCGGCGGACGGGUGAGUAACACGUGGAUAACCUACCUAUAAGACUGGGAUAACUUCGGGAAACCGUAGCUAAUACCGGAUAAUAUUUUGAACCGCAUGGUUCAUAAGUGAAAGACGGUCUUGCUGUCACUUAUAGAUGGAUCCGCGCUGCAUUAGCUAGUUGGUAAGGUAACGGCUUACCAAGGCAACGAUGCAUAGCCGACCUGAGAGGGUGAGCGGCCAAACGGAAAGUGAGACAAGGUCCAGAAUCCGAGGGGAGGCAGAAGGAGGGAAUCUUCCGAGAGGGGCAAAAGCCUAAAGGAGCAACGCCGCGGGAGUGAGGAAGUUCUAGGGAUAGAAAAACUCUGUUAUGGGGGAAAAACAUAUGGGAAAGAAACUGUGAAAAUCUUGACGGUACCAAAUCAAAAAGCCACGGCAAACUACG
This 495-nucleotide ribosomal RNA is filed under the name uncultured bacterium. Its description in RNAcentral is "partial 16S ribosomal RNA". It matches the Rfam family "Bacterial small subunit ribosomal RNA", at positions 28 to 505 of the family's 1533-position model. The record is from RNAcentral.